AUACAAUUUAUUUUGAGAUUCAAUGAAAUUGUCUAGUUGAAUUUUUUUUGUUGCCAUUAUAAUAAUCUUGAUAAUACUCAUAGAUAACUUUAAAGAUAGUUGAUUCAUCAAUUUUUUGGAAAUAAUAUUUUC
RNAcentral lists this small RNA (132 nucleotides) under Acanthamoeba polyphaga mimivirus. Its description in RNAcentral is "uncharacterized ncRNA". Lineage: Varidnaviria; Bamfordvirae; Nucleocytoviricota; Megaviricetes; Imitervirales; Mimiviridae. RNAcentral also lists the same sequence under 1 other name. The record is from RNAcentral.